Molecule: long non-coding RNA, 318 nt
Filed under: Malus domestica (apple)
Lineage: Eukaryota; Viridiplantae; Streptophyta; Magnoliopsida; Rosales; Rosaceae
Description: long non-coding RNA (MDOM_LNC012498)
Source: RNAcentral
AAAGUCACUCCAUCCGCGGGUGUCCACGGCAUAGUUGAGGUUAAGCCACUUAGUCAUAGAGGCAAGUGAAUGCGCAACAAGGAAUCUCUAAUCCUCGUUAAGAGAGGAUGAAUACUCUAAGAUAUGAUUCGGCAAUCUUCGGCCGAAGUAUCGAGCGUAAUAAAGGAAAGCGUUCCUAUACGACUCAAAUGAAUCAUAUAAGAAGGAAUAAUCACAUUAGGGGUUUGAUAUAAUAUAUCCAUACCCUAGUAAUGUGAUUGAGAGUAUUGUUUUAGAGAAGGAUCGAAUUACAUUGUAAUUCCAACUGAAUAGAUUCUC